Molecule: long non-coding RNA, 260 nt
Filed under: Elaeis guineensis (African oil palm)
Lineage: Eukaryota; Viridiplantae; Streptophyta; Magnoliopsida; Arecales; Arecaceae
Description: long non-coding RNA (EGUI_LNC015789)
Source: RNAcentral
GUCACAAUUAAUUAACAUAAAAGAACUCCAAAUGGAAGCCCUUUUCUAAGGCAAAUCAAGUUUUGUUACACGAGGCACAAUGUGGGACUAAUGUUGCUUGGACAAAAUAAGUUUACCAUAUACAUUGAACCAGAUAACCAAUUUCCCCAAACUUCAAAAACAGGUAGAAUAUUUAGUGUAUGUCGAUCUAAUACAACUAGCUCCAGAGCUGGAUUUUUGGUUAAGAUGUGUAUCACAGUGAUAAGGAUGAGGCCCGGCCC